Macadamia integrifolia is the source of this 1336-nucleotide long non-coding RNA. RefSeq lists it as uncharacterized. The record is from RefSeq and is a predicted model, not a curated record. NCBI's taxonomy places the organism in Eukaryota, Viridiplantae, Streptophyta, Magnoliopsida, Proteales, Proteaceae. The transcript has 5 exons.
GCGGUCUAUGUACAUGUGUCGUAAAAAUUUUCCUGAAACACUAUCUUAGCCAACCAAUAGAAGUGGUGGGAGUCUUUCUUUUUACCUCCUUUUCUCCCCCUAUCUGGUUUUCUUUCUUUCACCUAAAAUAGUGAGAGUUAUGAGUACUCCCCUUUCUUUUGUAUAUAUCUCCGUUUACUUCUUGGCAUUAUUAGAAGAAAAGGUAGGCAUGCACCGCAAAGUACACGCCUCUCACAAUCUCUCUUUUUUCUCCUCAUUUAAUGAUAUAGGAUCUCUAUAUGCCAAACAACACACAUUGAAACUCCUCUCCCGCUCCCUGCUAUUGGCUAAGGGUAUAUGAUGCUAAUAUAAUGAAAUUUUCUAUAAAAACACAAACAAACAAAUUUUCAUUUGAUGGCUUAUCCUGCCACUUGCCAGAUUUAAUUGUGGAUAAACAUUACUAUUUGCAGUUUCUUCCUUCAAUGCUUUCUCAAUGUUUUUGUCUAUUCAGUGUGUUGGGUUAGGAACCUAAGCAGGGUGAGAGCCCUUUGGAUGCAAUGUUUGAGAGGGGAGGUUUUGAUUAAACUUGCUCUAUUUGGACAUGAUGCAACACAAAAGAAAGGAAUUAGAGUUUUCAUGCAUUCUCAGAGGAUAGAAAUACUCUCUUCCUCCCUCCUAACAGGCAACAUAUUUUUCUGUGAUACAGAAUCUCUCAACACAACAAAUAGAUCAGGCUAUGAAUCUCUUCUAUGAGUCUAUAGAGAGACUGAUCUUAGCCAGGAGAAAGGGUGCAUUCGAAAUUCUGGAAUUUUUCUAGAAGUGCUAAACUUUCUGUUUGUCCUCUGAGAAAGGAGGGGUUUGAAACAGCAUGGCAAUGGCCUAAAGUACAUAUUUGGAAACAUUUCAUUUCCUAUGUUGAAUUUACCCACAAGAUACUUGGAUCAAUUGUGAGGACUUUGAAGCAAAGCCUUAAGAGGAGUCACAUCAAUGCAAAGUGGGUUCAAAGCAUUAGGAAAUACAGCUCCCUGGCAGAACUACUCAAGGACUUGGCAUCCAGGAAUCAAUGGAGAACUUUUUUGGUUUGUGUCACCAUUUGGAAUUGACUGAAGAAGGGCUGGAGCAACUACUGUAAACUUGAGAGGUAAACUCUGAAUAAGACCAGUGUGGGUAUGGAAUUAUUGGAUUUUCUAGUGUUGAGGUUGAGUUUCUACACUGGCUUCUAGGACAAUGCAACAGAGGUAGGAUGGCCUGUUGGACUUGUUCUGUUAUGCCUUAACCCAAAAUUAAACUGAACGAGAGCUUCACUGCCUAUUUGAGACAGAGACGUGGGAGUUACGAAAUCUCCAUUGGUAUGGUC